AUUCAGUUAUCGAGUCCCAAAUAGAACGAAACGCGCGUCAAACUGAAU
RNAcentral lists this non-coding RNA (48 nucleotides) under Schistosoma bovis. Lineage: Eukaryota; Metazoa; Platyhelminthes; Trematoda; Strigeidida; Schistosomatidae. RNAcentral also lists the same sequence under 1 other name. The record is from RNAcentral.